GGGGGCGUUCUGGUUUGGCAACUUGAGGUGGGGGUUUGAAAGCAUGGGUAGGGAACAGGAUUAGAUACCCUGGUAGUCCAGCCCUAAACGAUGAGUGAUAGGUGUUGGAGGGUUUCCGCCCUUCAGUGCGGAAGCUAAACGCAUUAAGCACUCCGCCUGGGGAGUACGACCGCAAGGUUGAAACUCAAAGGAAUUGACGGGGGCCCGCACAAGCGGUGGAGCAUGUGGUUUAAUUCGAAGCUACGCGAAGAACCUUACCAGGUCUUGACAUCUUGCGCUAACCUUAGAGAUAAGGCGUUCCCUUCGGGGACGCAAUGACAGGUGGUGCAUGGUCGUCGUCAGCUCGUGUCGUGAGAUGUUGGGUUAAGUCCCGCAACGAGCGCAACCCUUGUUACUAGUUGCCAGCAUUAAGUUGGGCACUCUAGUGAGACUGCCGGUGACAAACCGGAGGAAGGUGGGGAGGACGUCAGAUCAUCAUGCCCCUUAUGACCUGGGCUACACACGUGCUACAAUGGACGGUACAACGAGUCGCAAGCUCGCGAGAGUAAGCUAAUCUCAGAAAAGUCACCUCAGUUCGGAUUGUAGUCUGCAACUCGACUACAUGAAGCUGGAAUCGCUAGUAAUCGCAGAUCAGAAUGCUGCGGUGAAUACGUUCAAAGGGUCUUGUACUCACCGCCCGUCA
RNAcentral lists this ribosomal RNA (682 nucleotides) under uncultured bacterium. RNAcentral describes it as "bacterial SSU rRNA". It matches the Rfam family "Bacterial small subunit ribosomal RNA", at positions 720 to 1399 of the family's 1533-position model. The record is from RNAcentral.